AGAGUUUGAUCCUGGCUCAGAUUGAACGCUGGCGGCAUGCCUUACACAUGCAAGUCGAACGGCAGCAUAGGAGCUUGCUCCUGAUGGCGAGUGGCGAACGGGUGAGUAAUAUAUCGGAACGUGCCCUAGAGUGGGGGAUAACUAGUCGAAAGACUAGCUAAUACCGCAUACGAUCUACGGAUGAAAGUGGGGGAUCGCAAGACCUCAUGCUCCUGGAGCGGCCGAUAUCUGAUUAGCUAGUUGGUGGGGUAAAAGCCUACCAAGGCAACGAUCAGUAGCUGGUCUGAGAGGACGACCAGUCACACUGGGACUGAGACACGGCCCAGACUCCUACGGGAGGCAGCAGUGGGGAAUUUUGGACAAUGGGGGCAACCCUGAUCCAGCAAUGCCGCGUGAGUGAAGAAGGCCUUCGGGUUGUAAAGCUCUUUUGUCAGGGAAGAAACGGUAGUAGCGAAUAGCUACUACUAAUGACGGUACCUGAAGAAUAAGCACCGGCUAACUACGUGCCAGCAGCCGCGGUAAU
Molecule: ribosomal RNA, 523 nt
Filed under: uncultured bacterium
Lineage: Bacteria
Description: bacterial SSU rRNA
Rfam family: Bacterial small subunit ribosomal RNA
Source: RNAcentral